CGAACAGACGAGGAGCUUGCUCCUCUGACGUUAGCGGCGGACGGGUGAGUAACACGUGGAUAACCUACCUAUAAGACUGGGAUAACUUCGGGAAACCGGAGCUAAUACCGGAUAAUAUAUUGAACCGCAUGGUUCAAUAGUGAAAGACGGUUUUGCUGUCACUUAUAGAUGGAUCCGCGCCGCAUUAGCUAGUUGGUAAGGUAACGGCUUACCAAGGCAACGAUGCGUAGCCGACCUGAGAGGGUGAUCGGCCACACUGGAACUGAGACACGGUCCAGACUCCUACGGGAGGCAGCAGUAGGGAAUCUUCCGCAAUGGGCGAAAGCCUGACGGAGCAACGCCGCGUGAGUGAUGGAGGUCUUCGGAUCGUAAAACUCUGUUAUUAGGGAAGAACAAAUGUGUAAGUAACUAUGCACGUCUUGACGGUACCUAAUCAGAAAGCCACGGCUAACUACGUGCCAGCAGCCGCGGUAAUACGUAGGUGGCAAGCGUUAUCCGGAAUUAUUGGGCGUAAAGCGCGCGUAGGCGGUUUUUUAAGUCUGAUGUGAAAGCCCACGGCUCAACCGUGGAGGGUCAUUGGAAACUGGAAAACUUGAGUGCAGAAGAGGAAAGUGGAAUUCCAUGUGUAGCGGUGAAAUGCGCAGAGAUAUGGAGGAACACCAGUGGCGAAGGCGACUU
Molecule: ribosomal RNA, 678 nt
Filed under: uncultured Staphylococcus sp.
Lineage: Bacteria; Bacillati; Bacillota; Bacilli; Caryophanales; Staphylococcaceae
Description: bacterial SSU rRNA
Rfam family: Bacterial small subunit ribosomal RNA
Source: RNAcentral